Molecule: small nuclear RNA, 123 nt
Organism: Heterocephalus glaber (naked mole-rat)
Lineage: Eukaryota; Metazoa; Chordata; Mammalia; Rodentia; Bathyergidae
Source: Ensembl
GUGUUAUAUGAAAGGAGAGGUUAGCAUUCUCCUUGACAAGGAUGGAAGAGGCCCUUGGGCCUGACAACACGCAUACAAUUAAGGCAUUGCCACCUACUUCGUGGCAUCUAACCAUUGUUUUUA